GCUGCAGCGCUUUACCCUGUCUGGUUGCUGAGCUGCUCUGAGGGUAUCCAGGCCUUAGAGUUCCCAGUAUCCAAAGCUGCCUCUCUCCACCAGGGCACUCACCUCAUCCAGUGACCAGGAGUUGAGAUCAGGCCUUGGGACUCAGGUCCAUGGUCUGAACCCUUUCCUGGAGAGCCAGGUUGCUCUGGGAAUGGUGGGUUUUUGAUGCAGAGAAGCCAGUGCAGCUCUGGGUCUCUGCAGUUCAGGCUGGCCUUGAACUCACUUUGUAGCCCAGGCUGGUCUCGAACUCGCAACGAUCCUCCUGCCUCAGCCUCCCAACUGCUGGGAUUACAGGUGUGAGCCACCACGCCCGGCUACCAUGAGCACUUUCACACUGGUACCAAUGAAGCCGUUUCUUCUUUUCAUAUGAAUUGCUCCAUCCAUGUUGCCCAAAUUGAAAAGAGGGACAACUUACCUUUCAUGUUCACUAUAAAUGAAGACUCCACCAGCCCCCUCUUUGGUUUCACCGCAGUGCCAUAGGCUGGUGACACACGGGCUCUGGGGGACACUUCAAGUUCAAGCUGCAGCACUCAGUGAUGGUAACAGAGGCGGGAGCUACCCAGGCAGAAGGACGCUGAGCCGACUGACAUAACCAGGAGAGAAAAGGGCGAGCUGCCGUUCCUGUCAGCCGUUUUCUUUCAGGCCUGCCGGCUCUCUUGGACCCUGAGGGACGAGCUUCCGCACACAAGCUAACCUGAGGUCAAUCGUGCUUGUACGUCAGGCAGACACAAACAGAACUGAUUAUAUAGGAACAGAGACUACGUCACAGUAUCUGUGUGCCUGGUCUGGAGCUGACCUCACACAUGCAGAGCCUUACGGGCCACACGGCUCCCAGAACUUUCCUCAGGGUCCACCAUCCUUGGUUAGGAGCUGAGACAAGCCCAGGAAAAUUCAUGGUGGACCAGGCAGACUGCCAGCUGAUUCUCCAAUUUUGUUCUUUUUCUUUUCUUGGGCAUGGAAUCCCAAGUUACUGAAAGCAAAGCUAACUUUAAUAAAACAUAUAUGCCAGCUCCUCUUAUAGACAGAGGUGAUGAGUGAAACACAGGCGAAAGUCUUGAUUUGAGCUGUUGUGGGGCAGUCAGCGGGGAGGAUUCUUUUCCUUCCUCUGCCCAGUUACAGACAGAGGGCUGGAGCUCCAGUAGCUAUGGUGUGAUGAUAAAGCCAUCCCAAAAUGAUGGUUACAUGGCUAGGAAACUGGAACAGACUUGCAAGUGGCCUAGGUCUUUCCUGGGUCUGGAACCAGAUUUUUCAGCUCUAGAUUUUCUUCUUUGGGUUUUUUUUUUCCUGCAUAAGCAAAAAGUAGGUUCCUGAUUUAUCAAAACCUCCUUUUUGUUCUUUGUGGCAAACUUAAUACUGAACAAAUCCUGUCGCCCCUCUAUGACAAGAAAAAAACAAAACUGACUGGGAAAUUAAAUAAAGAACAGCACAUUGAAAGAAGUCUUACCAUCCUUCUACUAUUUUGAUUUUAACCAAGUGCUGAAAACAUGCUAUGUUUUUGUUUUAUGUAUUUUGGGGAAGUACUGGGAAUCAAACUCAGGACGCUGAGCUUGCCAGGCAGGUGCUAUGUCUCUGAGCCACAUCCCCAACCCAAGAUAUAGUUCAUUGAUUAACUCUCAUUGGAUGCUGGGGUCCUACCUAGCGGGGAGAAGCCCCCAUGGCCUUGGGCAGGGAAACUACUGUCAGUGUUAGCUGUUGAGGAAAAGAACCAGCACUCAGAGAGCACUGGGACUGCACGCUUCCCUGGCCACCAGGCCUGGCAGAUGCUUGGUCAGGGCAGC
Molecule: long non-coding RNA, 1817 nt
Organism: Cavia porcellus (domestic guinea pig)
Lineage: Eukaryota; Metazoa; Chordata; Mammalia; Rodentia; Caviidae
Exons: 3
Source: RefSeq, a predicted model, not a curated record